RNAcentral lists this ribosomal RNA (468 nucleotides) under uncultured bacterium. RNAcentral describes it as "partial 16S ribosomal RNA". It matches the Rfam family "Bacterial small subunit ribosomal RNA", at positions 28 to 507 of the family's 1533-position model. The record is from RNAcentral.
GACGAACGCUGGCGGCGCGCCUAACACAUGCAAGUCGAACGGAGCUGAGAGAAGCUUGCUUUUCUUAGCUUAGUGGCGAACGGGUGAGUAACGCGUGAGUAACCUGCCCUGGAGUGGGGGACAACAGUUGGAAACGACUGCUAAUACCGCAUAAGCCCACGAUCCGGCAUCGGAUUGAGGGAAAAGGAUUUAUUCGCUUCAGGAUGGACUCGCGUCCAAUUAGCUAGUUGGUGAGGUAACGGCCCACCAAGGCGACGAUUGGUAGCCGGACUGAGAGGUUGAACGGCAACAUUGGGACUGAGACACGGCCCAGACUCCUACGGGAGGCAGCAGUGGGGGAUAUUGCACAAUGGGGGAAACCCUGAUGCAGCGACGCCGCGUGGAGGAAGAAGGUUUUCGGAUUGUAAACUCCUGUCGUUAGGGACGAUAAUGACGGUACCUAACAAGAAAGCACCGGCUAACUACGUG